AAAAAAUCUUAAUUUUGACGAUUAGCAAUGUAAUCUGCUAAAGCAAUCAAUGGAGCAGCUUUGUGUGAAUCAAACGCCGCCAGCUGUUGUUUAGCUUCGCCGUUGAGCUCCGCCGCAAAUUCCUUAGCCUUUUCCAAUCCCAGCAGCUUCGGAUACGUCGUUUUAUCAACCGCCAAAUCUUUUCCGGCGGUUUUUCCGAGCUCCG
This 205-nucleotide unclassified non-coding RNA is filed under the name Hevea brasiliensis (rubber tree). Lineage: Eukaryota; Viridiplantae; Streptophyta; Magnoliopsida; Malpighiales; Euphorbiaceae. The record is from RNAcentral.